CGAGCCGGCCGGGCGGUCGCGUCGGGAUCUUCGGAUCCCGCCGAGGAACGUCCGGGCUCCACACGGCAAGGUGGUGGGUAACGCCCACCCGGGGUGACCCGCGGGACAGUGCCACAGAAAACAGACCGCCGAGGGCUUCGGCCCCCGGUAAGGGUGAAACGGUGGUGUAAGAGACCACCAGCGUCCGAGGUGACUCGGACGGCUCGGUAAACCCCACCUGGAGCAAGGUCAAGAGGAGCCGCCGCAAGGCGGCUCUGCGCGGACGAUCGAGGGCUGCCCGCCCGAGUCCGCGGGUAGACCGCACGAGACCGGCGGCAACGCCGGUCCUAGAUGGAUGGCCGCCUCCCCGAGGGCCGCGAGGCCCCCGGGAGACAGAACCCGGCGUACAGGCCGACUCGUCCG
This 402-nucleotide RNase P RNA is filed under the name Streptomyces asiaticus. Its description in RNAcentral is "RNase P RNA component class A". It matches the Rfam family "Bacterial RNase P class A". From Rfam's summary of the family: Ribonuclease P (RNase P) is a ubiquitous endoribonuclease, found in archaea, bacteria and eukarya as well as chloroplasts and mitochondria. Its best characterised activity is the generation of mature 5'-ends of tRNAs by cleaving the 5'-leader elements of precursor-tRNAs. Cellular RNase Ps are ribonucleoproteins. The record is from RNAcentral. Lineage: Bacteria; Bacillati; Actinomycetota; Actinomycetes; Kitasatosporales; Streptomycetaceae. RNAcentral also lists the same sequence under 3 other names.